AACCUGCGAAGGCAAGCGGAUCUCUUAAAGCCGUUCUCAGUUCGGACUGUAGGCUGCAACUCGCCUACACGAAGCUGGAAUCGCUAGUAAUCGCGGAUCAGCACGCCGCGGUGAAUACGUUCCCGGGCCUUGUACACACCGCCCGUCACACCAUGAGAGUCUGUAACACCCAAAGCCGGUGGGAUAACCUUUAUAGGAGUCAGCCGUCUAAGGUAGGACAGAUGAUUAGGGUGAAGUCGUAACAAGGUAAC
This 251-nucleotide ribosomal RNA is filed under the name uncultured bacterium. RNAcentral's name for it is "partial 16S ribosomal RNA". It matches the Rfam family "Bacterial small subunit ribosomal RNA", at positions 1252 to 1500 of the family's 1533-position model. The record is from RNAcentral.